UCCUGCGUAGCUCAACGGCAGAGCAUCCGACUGUUAAUCGGACGGUUACUGGUUCGAAUCCAGUCGCAGGAGCCA
RNAcentral lists this transfer RNA (75 nucleotides) under Actinomyces sp. RNAcentral describes it as "tRNA-Asn(gtt)". It matches the Rfam family "tRNA". From Rfam's summary of the family: Transfer RNA (tRNA) molecules are approximately 80 nucleotides in length. Their secondary structure includes four short double-helical elements and three loops (D, anti-codon, and T loops). Further hydrogen bonds mediate the characteristic L-shaped molecular structure. tRNAs have two regions of fundamental functional importance: the anti-codon, which is responsible for specific mRNA codon recognition, and the 3' end, to which the tRNAs corresponding amino acid is attached (by aminoacyl-tRNA synthetases). tRNAs cope with the degeneracy of the genetic code in two manners: having more than one tRNA (with a specific anti-codon) for a particular amino acid; and 'wobble' base-pairing, i.e. permitting non-standard base-pairing at the 3rd anti-codon position. Lineage: Bacteria; Bacillati; Actinomycetota; Actinomycetes; Actinomycetales; Actinomycetaceae. RNAcentral also lists the same sequence under 6 other names. The record is from RNAcentral.